Molecule: antisense RNA, 75 nt
Filed under: Streptomyces sp. PgraA7
Lineage: Bacteria; Bacillati; Actinomycetota; Actinomycetes; Kitasatosporales; Streptomycetaceae
Description: ASpks TB sRNA
Rfam family: ASpks TB sRNA
Source: RNAcentral
CUUCGAGGAUCCGAGCCACAGCGGCUGAUCCCCGUCGCGCUCCUGACCGUACGUCGCGAGCAGGGCCUGCGCCUC